Nycticebus coucang (slow loris) is the source of this 1883-nucleotide long non-coding RNA. RefSeq lists it as uncharacterized. The transcript is spliced from 3 exons. The record is from RefSeq and is a predicted model, not a curated record. NCBI's taxonomy places the organism in Eukaryota, Metazoa, Chordata, Mammalia, Primates, Lorisidae.
GGAAGCCCUGCGCGCGGGGCGACAAGAGGGGGAAGGGGAGGCGGGGUUAGCGCGGCAGCGGCGGGCCGGGACCCGCACGGGACCCGCACCCUCGCUGGGCGGCCGCGCGGCCGAGGGCGGGCCGGGCUCGGGCUCGGCCCCAGCCCCAGCAGCUCGCGGCCCGCGCCGCCUGCCUGCCCGCCCGCCGACCGAGCGCCGACGGCUCGGCCCGCGCAGCGCGGCCCAGCCCACCCCGCCCGCCACGUCGCCCCCGCCCCCUAAGCCGCUGUUGCCAUGGCGACGCCGAGCCCAGCCGAGUCGCGCCGACAGUGGCCGAGGCCGCCUUAGCCCCCCGGCUCGUGGCCGAGGGGGCGGGGCAGGGGAGGGGCGGAGGCCCCAGGGGCUUCUAGGGGCUACAGCCCCUUACCUCCACGCCGCCUCAAAGCCGGUCCUCCCAAACUAGGUCACACACCCCCACCUACUUUGAGGAAUCCACGCCCACCGCCCCGUCGGGGAUUGGCAAGGCGCCUUCCUCCACCCACGAGGUCGGGGCUCUCAGCCCACGGUCGUACAGAUGGGGGAAACGAAGGCUCUGAGAGCAGAAGUCGCUUUGCUGACAGGAUGAAUUCUCCAGCCGGGAACCGCGGUACCCCAGCGGAGACAACCUCCUCAGGGGACAGAAUCCCUAGCGCCCAGCCGAGGGAGAGGCUGAGGGGCUGAAGAGUUUGCUGAAUUUCCUCAAUAAAAGCUUCAAGAUAUGGGGCAUCCCAUUCAGGCCGUUUAUCCAUCUACCAGGCUGCACCAACUAAGAGCGGAGAUUCUUUCCCCACCACCCUCAUCCUAAGAACUCUAAGUCUAAUGCAAGAGACAGAGCCGAGACAGGCGUUCAAUACCCACUCAAUACUCGUGCUCCCUUUACAGGUGAUGGGAUAGAUGUCCAGGUUCAAGGUGCCACUGCUGGGCUGGGAACCUAUAGGCAGCUUGAGGGAGAGAAAAACUGGAGGAGGGGUCUCCCUGAGGGAACAGGAGUCCUCUGAGACCACCCACCCUAGCUUCAAUCCAGAUAACCACAUUUCAUCCAUCACCCAUAAAGCAGCGGUUCUCAACCUGUGGAUCCCGACCCACCGGAACUGUAUUAAAGGGCGCGGCAUUAGGAAGGUUGAGAACCACUGCCAUAAAGGGUAGGCUUGGCAGCCCUCUCUGUGUGGGGGGGGAGUGGGCUGAGGGUGGACAUUUGCCACUGGCCCUGUGCUGGAUCUGUCCUUCUUUGACAAACGAGGUCAAUACGUUGAUUGUACAAGUCAUGUCAUGUCACCUGCACAAGAGAAAAUGACAGAGAAAUAUCUGCAAAUGAAGCCUUCCUUGCUCAGACAGUCUCACAUCCAUAGCAGACCUAUCCUGUGACCACCUGUCAGUACUCUAAACGCCCUCUAAGGCCCAGCUGAACUGCAGCCUCAUCCAAAAGGCCUUCACAGGCUGUAGAGUUUAAGUGUCUUUCCCCUCUGCAGUCUGGAAUUAUCCGUCAAGGUAUUCUAAUCAGCUGCCGCUCAGUAAGUAUCUCUUUUGAGUGUUAAGGGCUGCAGGGGCGACCCUUAGGCAAGACAAUGUGUAAGGCAGAGGUUCUACAAACGGAGUCAGACCAGGCCAGCACUAGGCUCUGUAGGAGACACAGCAUGUGGGCAGAGACCUGAACCUCUGUGUAAGCUCUGACUCUCCCAACCUCUCCCUCUUGCCAGAUAUGGGGAGCAGGUUGCAACUGGCAUGGGGUUGUUGUCAAGCAAGUUCCCCCAAUGGGCUUAUUCUUUUUCUUGGUUUUUAUUUUCUAGACAUAUGAAAAUUUCACCAUUUUUACACUCUGUGGCACUAAGAACAAUGAAGCAUGUUUCACAAUUUAUGUAGCUCAU